Molecule: ribosomal RNA, 984 nt
Filed under: Salmonella enterica
Lineage: Bacteria; Pseudomonadati; Pseudomonadota; Gammaproteobacteria; Enterobacterales; Enterobacteriaceae
Also listed under: 1 other name
Description: bacterial SSU rRNA
Rfam family: Bacterial small subunit ribosomal RNA
Source: RNAcentral
AAAUUGAAGAGUUUGAUCAUGGCUCAGAUUGAACGCUGGCGGCAGGCCUAACACAUGCAAGUCGAACGGUAACAGGAAGCAGCUUGCUGCUUUGCUGACGAGUGGCGGACGGGUGAGUAAUGUCUGGGAAACUGCCUGAUGGAGGGGGAUAACUACUGGAAAUGGUGGCUAAUACCGCAUAACGUCGCAAGACCAAAGAGGGGGACCUUCGGGCCUCUUGCCAUCAGAUGUGCCCAGAUGGGAUUAGCUUGUUGGUGAGGUAACGGCUCACCAAGGCGACGAUCCCUAGCUGGUCUGAGAGGAUGACCAGCCACACUGGAACUGAGACACGGUCCAGACUCCUACGGGAGGCAGCAGUGGGGAAUAUUGCACAAUGGGCGCAAGCCUGAUGCAGCCAUGCCGCGUGUAUGAAGAAGGCCUUCGGGUUGUAAAGUACUUUCAGCGGGGAGGAAGGUGUUGUGGUUAAUAACCACAGCAAUUGACGUUACCCGCAGAAGAAGCACCGGCUAACUCCGUGCCAGCAGCCGCGGUAAUACGGAGGGUGCAAGCGUUAAUCGGAAUUACUGGGCGUAAAGCGCACGCAGGCGGUCUGUCAAGUCGGAUGUGAAAUCCCCGGGCUCAACCUGGGAACUGCAUUCGAAACUGGCAGGCUUGAGUCUUGUAGAGGGGGGUAGAAUUCCAGGUGUAGCGGUGAAAUGCGUAGAGAUCUGGAGGAAUACCGGUGGCGAAGGCGGCCCCCUGGACAAAGACUGACGCUCAGGUGCGAAAGCGUGGGGAGCAAACAGGAUUAGAUACCCUGGUAGUCCACGCCGUAAACGAUGUCUACUUGGAGGUUGUGCCCUUGAGGCGUGGCUUCCGGAGCUAACGCGUUAAGUAGACCGCCUGGGGAGUACGGCCGCAAGGUUAAAACUCAAAUGAAUUGACGGGGGCCCGCACAAGCGGUGGAGCAUGUGGUUUAAUUCGAUGCAACGCGAAGAACCUUAC